GACGAACGCUGGCGGCGUGCCUAAUACAUGCAAGUAGAACGCUGAAGGAGGAGCUUGCUUCUCUGGAUGAGUUGCGAACGGGUGAGUAACGCGUAGGUAACCUGCCUGGUAGCGGGGGAUAACUAUUGGAAACGAUAGCUAAUACCGCAUAAGAGUAGAUGUUGCAUGACAUUUGCUUAAAAGGUGCAAUUGCAUCACUACCAGAUGGACCUGCGUUGUAUUAGCUAGUUGGUGAGGUAACGGCUCACCAAGGCAACGAUACAUAGCCGACCUGAGAGGGUGAUCGGCCACACUGGGACUGAGACACGGCCCAGACUCCUACGGGAGGCAGCAGUAGGGAAUCUUCGGCAAUGGACGGAAGUCUGACCGAGCAACGCCGCGUGAGUGAAGAAGGUUUUCGGAUCGUAAAGCUCUGUUGUAAGAGAAGAACGAGUGUGAGAGUGGAAAGUUCACACUGUGACGUAUCUACCAGAAAGG
RNAcentral lists this ribosomal RNA (477 nucleotides) under Streptococcus mitis. Its description in RNAcentral is "bacterial SSU rRNA". It matches the Rfam family "Bacterial small subunit ribosomal RNA", at positions 28 to 491 of the family's 1533-position model. The record is from RNAcentral. Lineage: Bacteria; Bacillati; Bacillota; Bacilli; Lactobacillales; Streptococcaceae.